AGGGUUCGAUUAUGGCUCAGAACGUACGCUGGCGGCACGCCUUAUACAUGCAAGUCGAACGAAGUAGCAAUACUUAGUGGCGGACGGGUGAGUAUGAUGUGGGUAUCUGUCCAUUGGUUUGGAAUAACACGGGGAAACUUGUGCUAAUACUGAAUAAGCCUUCACAGGGAAAGCUUUAUGCGCCGAUGGAUGAGCCCGCACUUGAUUAGCUUGUUGGUGAGGUAAAAGCUCACCAAGGCUACGACCAAUAGCUGAUCUGAGAGGAUGAUCAGCCACAUUGGGACUGAGACACGGCCCAAACUCCUACGGGAGGCAGCAGUAGGGAAUAUUGCACAAUGGAGGAAACUCUGAUGCAGCGAUGCCGCGUGAGUGAAGAAGGCCUUUGGGUUGUAAAGCUCUUUCGUCGGGGAAGAAAAUGACUGUACCCGAAUAAGAAGGUCCGGCUAACUUCGUGCCAGCCGCCGCGGUAAUAC
Molecule: ribosomal RNA, 473 nt
Filed under: uncultured bacterium
Lineage: Bacteria
Description: bacterial SSU rRNA
Rfam family: Bacterial small subunit ribosomal RNA
Source: RNAcentral